This 313-nucleotide ribosomal RNA is filed under the name uncultured Pythium. RNAcentral's name for it is "SSU rRNA". It matches the Rfam family "Eukaryotic small subunit ribosomal RNA", at positions 39 to 352 of the family's 1831-position model. Lineage: Eukaryota; Oomycota; Peronosporomycetes; Pythiales. The record is from RNAcentral.
AAAGAUUAAGCCAUGCAUGUCUAAGUAUAAACAAUUUUGUACUGUGAAACUGCGAAUGGCUCAUUAUAUCAGUUAUAGUCUACUCGAUAGUACCUUACUACUUGGAUAACCGUAGUAAUUCUAGAGCUAAUACAUGCAUAAAUACCCAACUGCUUGUCGGGCGGGUAGCAUUUAUUAGAUUGAAACCAAUGCAGUCUUCGGGCUGGUAUUGUGUUGAGUCAUAAUAACUGUGCGGAUCGCACUUUGUGCGAUAAAUCGAUUGAGUUUCUGCCCUAUCAGCUUUGGAUGGUAGGAUAUGGGCCUACCAUGGCAU